GACGAACGCUGGCGGCGUGCCUAAUACAUGCAAGUUGAGCGCUGAAGGUUGGUACUUGUACCAACUGGAUGAGCAGCGAACGGGUGAGUAACGCGUGGGGAAUCUGCCUUUGAGCGGGGGACAACAUUUGGAAACGAAUGCUAAUACCGCAUAAAAACUUUAAACACAAGUUUUAAGUUUGAAAGAUGCAAUUGCAUCACUCAAAGAUGAUCCCGCGUUGUAUUAGCUAGUUGGUGAGGUAAAGGCUCACCAGGGCGAUGAUACAUAGCCGACCUGAGAGGGUGAUCGGCCACAUUGGGACUGAGACACGGCCCAAACUCCUACGGGAGGCAGCAGUAGGGAAUCUUCGGCAAUGGACGAAAGUCUGACCGAGCAACGCCGCGUGAGUGAAGAAGGUUGUCGGAUCGUAAAACUCUGUUGGUAGAGAAGAACGUUGGUGAGAGUGGAAAGCUCAUCAAGUGACGGUAACUACCCAGAAAGGGACGGCUAACUACGUG
RNAcentral lists this ribosomal RNA (497 nucleotides) under uncultured bacterium. Its description in RNAcentral is "partial 16S ribosomal RNA". It matches the Rfam family "Bacterial small subunit ribosomal RNA", at positions 28 to 507 of the family's 1533-position model. The record is from RNAcentral.